UGACCUCAAAUCAGGUAGGACUACCCGCUGAACUUAAGCAUAUCAAUAAGCGGAGGAAAAGAAACUAACAAGGAUUCCCCUAGUAACUGCGAGUGAAGCGGGAAAAGCUCAAAUUUAAAAUCUGGCAGUCUUUGGCUGUCCGAGUUGUAAUCUAGAGAAGUGUUAUCCGCGCUGGACCGUGUACAAGUCUCCUGGAAUGGAGCGUCAUAGAGGGUGAGAAUCCCGUCUUUGACACGGACUACCAGGGCUUUGUGAUGCGCUCUCAAAGAGUCGAGUUGUUUGGGAAUGCAGCUCAAAAUGGGUGGUAAAUUCCAUCUAAAGCUAAAUAUUGGCGAGAGACCGAUAGCGAACAAGUACCGUGAGGGAAAGAUGAAAAGAACUUUGGAAAGAGAGUUAAACAGUACGUGAAAUUGCUGAAAGGGAAACGCUUGAAGUCAGUCGCGUCGUCCAGGGAUCAACCUUGCUUUUGCUUGGUGCACUUUCUGGUUGACGGGUCAGCAUCAAUUUUGACCAUUGGAAAAAGAUUAAGGGAAUGUGACAUCUUUGGAUGUGUUAUAGCCCUUGGUUGCAUACGAUGGUUGGGAUUGAGGAACUCAGCACGCCGCAAGGCCGGGUU
Molecule: ribosomal RNA, 616 nt
Filed under: Cortinarius hadrocroceus
Lineage: Eukaryota; Fungi; Basidiomycota; Agaricomycetes; Agaricales; Cortinariaceae
Description: eukaryotic LSU rRNA
Rfam family: Eukaryotic large subunit ribosomal RNA
Source: RNAcentral